This 429-nucleotide ribosomal RNA is filed under the name Bacteroidota bacterium. RNAcentral describes it as "Bacteroidetes bacterium partial 16S ribosomal RNA". It matches the Rfam family "Bacterial small subunit ribosomal RNA", at positions 355 to 776 of the family's 1533-position model. The record is from RNAcentral. Lineage: Bacteria; Pseudomonadati; Bacteroidota.
UAGGGAAUCUUCCGCAAUGGACGCAAGUCUGACGGAGCAACGCCGCGUGAGUGAAGAAGGAUUUCGGUUCGUAAAACUCUGUUGUUAGAGAAGAACAGCGCAUAGAGUAACUGUUAUGCGUGUGACGGUAUCUAACCAGAAAGCCACGGCUAACUACGUGCCAGCAGCCGCGGUAAUACGUAGGUGGCAAGCGUUGUCCGGAUUUAUUGGGCGUAAAGCGAGCGCAGGCGGUCAAUUAAGUCUGAUGUGAAAGCCCCCGGCUCAACCGGGGAGGGUCAUUGGAAACUGGUUGACUUGAGUGCAGAAGGGGAGAGUGGAAUUCCAUGUGUAGCGGUGAAAUGCGUAGAUAUAUGGAGGAACACCGGUGGCGAAAGCGGCUCUCUGGUCUGUAACUGACGCGGAGGCUCGAAAGCGUGGGGAGCGAACAGG